GAUGAACGCUGGCGGCGUGCCUAAUACAUGCAAGUCGAGCGAACAGACGAGGAGCUUGCUCCUCUGACGUUAGCGGCGGACGGGUGCGUAACACGUGGAUAACCUACCUAUAAGACUGGGAUAACUUCGGGAAACCGGAGCUAAUACCGGAUAAUAUAUUGAACCGCAUGGUUCAAUAGUGAAAGACGGUUUUGCUGUCACUUAUAGAUGGAUCCGCGCCGCAUUAGCUAGUUGGUAAGGUAACGGCUUACCAAGGCAACGAUGCGUAGCCGACCUGAGAGGGUGAUCGGCCACACUGGAACUGAGACACGGUCCAGACUCCUACGGGAGGCAGCAGUAGGGAAUCUUCCGCAAUGGGCGAAAGCUUGACGGAGCAACGCCGCGUGAGUGAUGAAGGUCUUCGGAUCGUAAAACUCUGUUAUUAGGGAAGAACAAAUGUGUAAGUAACUAUGCACGUCUUGACGGUACCUAAUCAGAAAGCCACGGCUAACUACGUG
This 497-nucleotide ribosomal RNA is filed under the name uncultured bacterium. Its description in RNAcentral is "partial 16S ribosomal RNA". It matches the Rfam family "Bacterial small subunit ribosomal RNA", at positions 28 to 507 of the family's 1533-position model. The record is from RNAcentral.